UACAUCAAAGUUUACUUCCCAGGUACGAGACCUUCAAAUACAUUCCUUACAAUACAUGAAUAGAUACCCAUGCAGCUAUAACCAUUAACUCAUAAUACACACUUAUUCGAUCAGCUUUCCUUUUCCUUUGUUCGUGCCUGAACCUUCAGGUUGCUCAUACAUAACUGAAAAUAUUUAAUUUAAGCAAGGAUGAGCAUUUGAGUGCCCAGCAAGUAAUAACAAUUAUAUAUAUAAGCUGAAAGAAUAUAAGUAUUCUCUUUACAUAACACUUCUACAACGAAUCAAAAGUUGUGAAGUAAUCUGUACUGAUAAAAGAUUCACAUAACAACUCUCUUUCAAAUUCUUGAAAUGAGGCUCCACCCAUGAAUAGGGUUUAAGAAACAUACUAUGAACAUUCUUUUUCGUUUUCGAAAAGGUUUAGCAGAAAUUCAUCCGCAAACCGGCAUAAAUUACGGGCACGGAGGGUGAUCAGCCCCGUUGUACCCUGUAUUGAUCAAUACUACAUAACUUGAACGAAAUUCAUCGCUCACCCUUUGUCCGCCGAAGCGCAUAAAAAUUUUCCCAUUAUCGGGAUGUUCAUACAUGCCUGGUUCCAAACCCGAAGGUUUUUAAUCUUGCUCAACAAUAAUAUGUAAUUCAACAUAUAUGUAUACGGGUAAUUGACAUGGUAUAUCAUCAUGUGAAUAAAUGCCAUGAUUAUCCAAGUGGGGACACUUGUAUAACCAUUUAGAAAUCAACUUAACAGAAUAUAUAUCUGAGCUAACAUGUUGAUAAUCAAAACAUACAUAAUCUGUACAGGAAUAGAAUAAUUCUGAAACUUCUUACUCAUGUCCAUUGCAUAAAGGAAAUGCAAAGGUAAGAUACUUGCCUGAUUUGCUGAUUACAAAUCUCAACUUAGAUCUUAUCUCUUUAUCACAACCUAUCAAUAAACAGGUCAUUCGUCCGAUUAGAACAAUAUAUAAUAACACAUAGUACUGUCAGUUACGGUCAGCACAUAGUCUAAUCACGCCAUCACAUAAUCGCAGUGAUCAUACUUUCUAUUCUAUACUUUUAUACAUUUUUCAAAUAUCUCAUCCAUGCUCUUACAGAAGUCUUUUCUUUCUAUUAUAGGGUCUGACAUUUGUCGGCGUACCGACAGCUUUAUCGGGUAAAUACUGAGUCUAAGACUCUUAUCCUAUACCUCAACAUCUGUAAAUAUCAAACAUUUUAUUUUUAAUCAUUUUCGAAUUUUCCAGAAAUUGAAAAAUUUAAAAUAAUUCAAAUCUGUCACUACCGGGCCUAUAGUGAUAUAACUGUUACUAUAGGUGUUCCUCAAAACUUCAUAACUUCAUAAUCGGUUCUCAAGUCAGCUAGUUUGGCCGGCUAUAACUUUCAAACAUCGGAAUCAUAAUUAAAUGAUUUAAACAUUAAACAAUUCCAUUAUCAUUAAUAAUUAAUUUAUAUUAAACUAUUAAUGAAACCAUUGCCAAAAUAUAAAAGUUAUUUAUAAUAACUCAAACUAUUUUUAAAACAUUUAUAUUACCCUUAAAUGAUUUUUAAAACAAUUAAAAUCAUUUUUAAAUAAUCACCAUUAAUAUAUAAAUAUUAAUGUACUAUUCAUCCAAAUAUUAAAAGUCAUUAAUUAUAACUUAAAAUAUUUUUAAAUCCUUAAUAUCCUCUUUAAAUGAUUUUUAAAUAAAUAAAACCAUUUUUAAACUAUUUAUUUAAUAAUAAUUAUUAAAUAAACUAAAUAUCAUUAAUAUUAUCUUAAUAUCAUUAAUAUUAAAUUAUUAAUGAAAUUAUCCUUUAAAUAUUAAAAGUUAUAUUUUAUAACUUAAAAUAUUUUUAAAUACCUUAAUUUCAUUUAAAAUGAUUUUUAUAAUAUUAAAAUCAUUUUUAAACUAAAUUAUUUAAUAUAAUCAUUAAAUAACUUUAAUAUCAUUAAUAUAUAAUUAAUUAAUGAAAUUCAUCACAAAAUAUUAAAAGUCAUGGAAAAUAACUCAAAAUAUUUUCUUAUACCAUAAAAUAAUUUUUCAUGAUUUUUCAUGAAUUAAAACUAUUUUUAAAUCAUUUAUUUAAUAUUAUAAUUAAAUAAAUAAAUACCUUUUAUAUUUCAAAAAUAUUAAAUAUUUAUGAAAUAUACUCAAAAUAAUUAAAAACUAUUUUUCAGACUUUAAAAUAAUUUUUCAUAAUUUAUUUGGUAUUUUUAAUAAUUAAAAACUAAUUUUUCUAAUUUUUAAAUUAAUUUCCGGAAAAUAAAAUGUUAUCUGUCGCUAAAGGCAUCUAUAGCGACAGAACCGUCGCUAUAGGUGUUCUUGAGCUUCAUGUCAGUGCACAAAGGUACUAGUUUGACCGAGCUUUAAAUCCAUGAUCUAAGUGUUUUCUGGACUUGCAAAAACUUCAAUGUUGUAGUACUAAUGUAAUACUACAACUAUAUACUCAUUUCAUGGCCAAACAACAACAAAUCUGUGAGAUAUGAUCAAUAGAAAACCUUGUCAGACGUGUUCUUCAUGUUUCUGGGUUGCCCAGAAAAUUCUGGUCAACACCGGUCAACGACCUUAGUGGUCUUAUUCUGGUCGAUCUGUACAUGUUAUAGGUGUUUUAUACGUCGGGCUAUGUAGUACAACUUACAGAGAACAUGAUUAAAUCAAGUUUCAAGUCUAAACAUUAACAAUACCAAAGAUAUAAAUCAUCAAACUCUCUGACAAAACUUGCAUGCCAAUUCUGGGUUUUCCAGAAUUUUAAAACAGAUCGUGCAGGCUACUUUGGAUCUUUAUAUCUUUCAUUCUGAGUUUGAUCUAAGUGAUCUAUUGAUUCCAGGUUGUAGAUAACAUGUAAUACUACAACUCUAUUACAUAUAAGACAUAUAACAACAACAGAUCCAGUAGAAAGAGGCCGGUCAAAUGUGACCUCAACAACUGUUCUUGAACAUUUCUGGAAAACCCAGAAAUGUUCUUGAGCAGUUCGGUCAAUGGUAGUUUGACCAUAAAUAACUUCUAAUCUACAACAGAUAUGACCAUGAUUCCUUUUGCAGAAUAAAGACAACAUACCAGGCUACACAUAGCAAGCUUUAAACAUCAAAAACUCUUAACAGGAUGGGAUCUACAGCCUCUGACAUUCGUUGUCAGAACACAAAAAUGAAAAUUUCCAGAUUUUGAAGAUCUUCAAAUCCGAGCUUCUGAAUGUUAUGGAAUCAACAUCAAGCAACCCAGAUCAUCCUUAGACACUAUAAUCAACAUGUUUUAACAUUUAAACAUAACAUCUAACACCAAAAAGUUUAAGAAAAAUCAAGCUAGGGUUUAUACCUUUUUAAGCUUUGAUUCUGAUUUUUGGCUACUGAUUUGUUAUUGGUGUGAAUGGGGCUUGUUUAUAGACUGAUAUGUUAAGAGAAUUUCGUAGGUUUAAGCUUGGGAGAAUGAAGCUAAGUGCUUGUGUAUAAAUAGGCCAAAAAUGGUGCAUUUCUCUCUCUUGAAUCCAUAAAAUAAUGCAUGAAAUGAUUAUAGUGGCUGAUUGAUGGUAAUACUACAGCCCAUAGGUAAUUUCUAGAUGGAUUGGCCGGAUUUUGUGGACAAGUGGUAGCAAUAAGACAUAAAUAAUGCAUUUUCCCUUUUCUUUAAUUUUAAAAAAAAAAUUUUAAAUACCUUGGAUGCUAAAGUGGGAUGAUUCCCUUGUUUGAGAGCUGAUAGCAUGUAGGGUAAGCAUGUUGGGCAUCCUUGUUGCAAGAUCCCAUCAACAAUGUAAGUAAUAAUACACUAAAAUGACAAAAAGGGUAUUUUGGUCAUUUCACAUAUAAUUCCAAGGGCAUUUUUGUAAAAGGCCAUUAAAUGUAAUAUUUAACCAUUAGAUUAUAAUUCUUACCAUUUACCAAUUAAUUUCUAUCAUUUGGUAAUUUAAAACAUUUAUAUAAUAACAUCGUAAUUAAACACGAUAAUUUUAAAUUAGGGUUUUCUAUAGAAAAUUAGGGUUUUCUAAUUAGGGUUUCUUAACAUUAUCAAUUAGGGUUUCCUAAUUGACCAUUAGGGUUCUCUAAUUAUCUGUGUAUGAUCUAACACAGUCAUUACGAUCUCUAACUUCAACCGAUUAGGGUUGUAAUAAUUAGGGUUUGUCCUAGUUAUCAGCGUAAAAAUAGUAAUUAGGGUUUUUCUUCUAAUUACCGACAUUCGUGUACACAGUAACUUCAUAUACACAGUAAACUUCAUAUACUACUCAGUCAUUUCUCAUAACUGAGUUUAAUAAUUAGGGUUUUACAGCACGGUAAUAUGCUAUGACCUAAUUGACCGUCAUUGCUCAAUAAUAUCUGUCCGCAUAUACACAGUACAUAAUUAUUGUACUGUAAAAUCAUUAUAAUAAUAAUAUAAUAUUAUUAUUCUCAUCUCUUGAUCACAAUCCCAAUUCAGGGUUUGGAUCUCAUACAUGACUUUUCUUU
Molecule: long non-coding RNA, 4405 nt
Filed under: Panax ginseng (ginseng)
Lineage: Eukaryota; Viridiplantae; Streptophyta; Magnoliopsida; Apiales; Araliaceae
Description: long non-coding RNA (PGIN_LNC000019)
Source: RNAcentral